Long non-coding RNA from Canis lupus familiaris (dog), 1240 nucleotides. RefSeq lists it as uncharacterized. NCBI's taxonomy places the organism in Eukaryota, Metazoa, Chordata, Mammalia, Carnivora, Canidae. The record is from RefSeq and is a predicted model, not a curated record. The transcript has 5 exons.
AGUUGCAUUUGGUUAACCAGUCUUGAAGCAGACGAUCCUCCUUCUGAUGUAUCCUUGGAAGAUCAAUGUAGCCUAACACUACGUCACAAUGCUGACAUCGUGCACCUCACUUCAUCUCCUCAUAUGGGCAUUUUAUCAUCUCACACCAUCACAGGAAGAAAAAGAGAUUGGCUACUGGCUCUUUUAGAGUCAUGAUGUUUUCCUACAGAAGCUGGUUGUCUGUUCUAUAAGGUUCCUUUGGCACAAGCCCUCAGCCACCAUUCUAAUCAUCCCCAUAAAGGAACAGAUGCAGACAUGGGGCAAGACAAGAGCACGAGCAACCAGAAGCAUGGGAGGGAAGGUGAUGACAGCAGCGGGACACUCACAACUCCACAGCUCCCAUUCUGUACCAAUCAGGAAGGAACUGGGGCCUCUGGUCCAGAAAGAUUUCCUUCCCUUAAGUGUGUUAUCAUGGAGAAAGCAAAGUUGACUCAAAUAUGCUCCCUACACAAGAGUGAUGGGGCAGGAUUUUACACAAAGUGUCUGGAAGACAAGGGAGGAGCCAUCAUAAAUAUGACCCAUACAUUUGCCACAUACUGUUGCUUUCAUUAGUGCCUGGCUUGGAUGCUGCGGUGAGAGUGGUGAGCAAAACCACAUAUAAUCCUUGACCUUCUACAGCCUGUGGUCAGAGUAGUACGGAAGGCAUUAUGGAGAUCUCAAAACCAGUUUCUUCUUUCCUUUACUCACCAUUGCUCCAGUCUGGCCUUCACCAUCAUGACUCAAUGAAUCAAUGCCAUUGGCUUCUAACUGGCCUCUGUGUCUUCAGCUUCCUGCAUGUCUGGAGUGAUCCAGCAAAUCCCCACUGGAUCUUUGCAGCUCAGACCAGCUACCACAGCUUUCUAAACCUCACCCACAGGCUGUGUUGCAUCGCCUGUCUGCUCCCACGAUACGCGCUCACGUCUCUAUUGGCGUGCUGCCACCACCCUGUUGGAAGAUUCGCCAUGAACGUAUUCCUGUACGGGCUGAACUGCGAAGUUCCUCUCAGGCAAAGAUCAUGUUCUGUUUAUUUCUGUACCUCCAGCAGGGAGCAAAGGGUCUGGCAUAUUGCAAGUAUCCUAAGAAGGCUAGCUGAAUGAAGGCUCAAACCAAUCUCACCAUUUUGAAACUGUGUAUUAUAGCGAUAGAGAUUUCUGGAUUGCCAAUAAAUACCUGGUGCAGAAUGUGACUCCACAAGUUUAACCGGGCUGGCUAAAUCACUGUU